This 557-nucleotide small RNA is filed under the name Pan troglodytes (chimpanzee). Its description in RNAcentral is "retained intron". Lineage: Eukaryota; Metazoa; Chordata; Mammalia; Primates; Hominidae. The record is from RNAcentral.
UCUGGCUGCCAGACGUCCUUCUCUUCCCGGAUAAGAAGCAGAGGACCUUCCAGCCACCCCCGACAGGCCACAAGCGUUCCACGAGCGAAGGUGCCUGGCCGCAGCUGCCCUCUGGUCUCUCCAUGAUGAGGUGCCUCCACAACUUCCUGACAGAUGGGGUCCCUGCGGAGGGGGCGUUCACUGAAGACUUCCAGGGCCUACGGGUAGAGGUGGAGACCAUCUCCAAGGAACUGGAGCGUUUGGACAGAGAGCUGUGCCAGCUGCUGCUGAAGGGCCUGGAGGGGGUGCUGCGGGACCAGCUGGCCCUGCGAGCCUUGGAGGAGGCGGUGAGCGGGGGAGGAUGCCUGGGGCACACAAGGCCUGCCCAGCCAGCCAGGCUCACCUGCCCUUCCCAUGCCCACAGCUGGAGCAGGGCCAGAGCCUUGGGCCGGUGGAGCCCCUGGACGGUCCAGCAGGUGCUGUCCUGGAGUGCCUGGUGUUCUCCUCCGGAGUGCUGGUGCUGGAACUCGCCAUCCCUGUUGUCUACCUGCUGGGGGCACUGACCAGUGAGCGGCCCC